GGGGGUAUAGCUUAGUUGGUAGAGUGCUUGCCUCACAUGCAAAAGGCCCUGGGUUUGAUCCCUAGCACCACAA
This 73-nucleotide transfer RNA is filed under the name Ictidomys tridecemlineatus (thirteen-lined ground squirrel). RNAcentral's name for it is "Spermophilus tridecemlineatus (thirteen-lined ground squirrel) tRNA". It matches the Rfam family "tRNA". From Rfam's summary of the family: Transfer RNA (tRNA) molecules are approximately 80 nucleotides in length. Lineage: Eukaryota; Metazoa; Chordata; Mammalia; Rodentia; Sciuridae. The record is from Rfam by way of RNAcentral. RNAcentral also lists the same sequence under 1 other name.